RNAcentral lists this ribosomal RNA (441 nucleotides) under uncultured Oomycota. Its description in RNAcentral is "LSU rRNA". It matches the Rfam family "Eukaryotic large subunit ribosomal RNA", at positions 165 to 604 of the family's 3401-position model. Lineage: Eukaryota; Oomycota. The record is from RNAcentral.
AGCAUAGCGAUUUGGGAUAAGUCCCUUGGAAGAGGGCAGCAUGGAGGGUGAUACUCCCGUCUCUGCUCAGGUUGUCUGUGUGUACGAUACGCUUUCUUUGAGUCGAGUUGUUUGGGAAUACAGCUCAAAGCAGGUGGUAAAUUCCAUCUAAAGCUAAAUAUUGGUGCGAGACCGAUAGCGAACAAGUACCGUGAGGGAAAGAUGAAAAGAACCUUGAAAAGAGAGUUAAAGAGUACCUGAAACUGUUGAAAGGGAACCGUAUCGUUUCUAGUGUGUAUCCUACGCAUAUUUCAUUGGCGGUUGUAAAAUUGCUGGUGCCCUGUGUAUGGGUGUGACGUCAGAGUCAGUUUGAAUUGCGGGAGAUGGGUAGUGAGGAGGUGCGUCACUUUUUGUGAAAGUUACAGCUCGCUAUCUAGUAGCCGUGGUUGAGACUGAGGUGCC